UUUUUUUUUUAAUAUUUAAGAAAACUUACUAGGUGUUUAUACAAAACCACAUAUACAUAAUAUGUGUAACAAAAACAAAAAAAUAAAAAACAUAUCAUUUGUUGAAUCAAUACAUUCAUCACUCCGUUCAGAAUCUAAAAUACAAUAAUGAAUAAUGAUGACGUAGAAGACAAACUGCAGUUUGAAUAAGGUUUUUUAAAAAAAAAAAAUUUAUUGGCAAAGUUCUCCGAAAAAUUGGAAUAUUUGGAAAAAUCUGAAAGUGCUUUUUUAAGCAAAAUAAUGCUUACCGGAUCAACUAGUUUUCUCAUAAUACGACGUGGAGUAAUUACAAAACAGAAUAGUAUGGGAUCUAGGUACCUCGAGGAAUGUCAGAUAUUGUUUGGAGGUCUUACCAAUGAGAAAAAUGAACUUUCAACCGAGUAAGACUUAGUCCAAGAUAAGACAGGCUCGCCAUUUCGUCAACUUCGAGUUGGCAAAAUAAAUAAAUCAAGAUAAAAUUACUGGUUCAGAUAAGAACUAAAAUCAAUAACACUAGUAACCGUGGAGUGACCAGAGUAAAAAACAUGUUGAUUCAGUGUUGUGAUCGACAAAAUAAAAAAAGUGAUCUUUUAACAUGUCAGAGUACAAUAGACUGGAAUAUUUUUUCAAAGAAUGGAAGAUCUAAAAUUGGUUGGAGUUUGUAACAACCAUCAGAUUACAGGAUACGGAUUUUAAAUCGGUGUAACGCGUCUGUAUUUCCAGACGAAGGGGAAGAAAAAAUAACUCACACCAUCGCAAAAUCAAUACAUUCGUCGCUUCACUAAAAUAAAAGGUGAAUAAAAAAAAAUUUAAAAUGUAAAACGUAUAAAAUGUAAAUAAUGGUAUAUUUAACAAUA
Long non-coding RNA from Aphis gossypii (cotton aphid), 875 nucleotides. RefSeq lists it as uncharacterized. The transcript is spliced from 4 exons. Lineage: Eukaryota; Metazoa; Arthropoda; Insecta; Hemiptera; Aphididae. The record is from RefSeq and is a predicted model, not a curated record.